Molecule: ribosomal RNA, 253 nt
Filed under: uncultured bacterium
Lineage: Bacteria
Description: partial 16S ribosomal RNA
Rfam family: Bacterial small subunit ribosomal RNA
Source: RNAcentral
GACAGAGGGGGCAAGCGUUGCUCGGAAUCACUGGGCGUAAAGCGCACGUAGGCGGAUUUCUAAGUCAGGGGUGAAAUCCUGGAGCUCAACUCCAGAACUGCCUUUGAUACUGGGAAUCUCGAGUCCGGGAGAGGUGAGUGGAACUGCGAGUGUAGAGGUGAAAUUCGUAGAUAUUCGCAAGAACACCAGUGGCGAAGGCGGCCCACUGGCUCGAUACUGACGCUGAGGUGCGAAAGCGUGGGGAGCAAACAGG